GAUGAACGCUGGCGGCGUGCCUAAUACAUGCGAGUCGAGCGAACAGACGAGGAGCUUGCUCCUCUGACGUUAGCGGAGGACGGGUGAGUAACACGUGGAUAACCUACCUAUAAGACUGGGAUAACUUCGGGAAACCGGAGCUAAUACCGGAUAAUAUAUUGAACCGCAUGGUUCAAUAGUGAAAGACGGUUUUGCUGUCACUUAUAGAUGGAUCCGCGCCGCAUUAGCUAGUUGGUAAGGUAACGGCUUACCAAGGCAACGAUGCGUAGCCGACCUGAGAGGGUGAUCGGCCACACUGGAACUGAGACACGGUCCAGACUCCUACGGGAGGCAGCAGUAGGGAAUCUUCCGCAAUGGGCGAAAGCCUGACGGAGCAACGCCGCGUGAGUGAUGAAGGUCUUCGGAUCGUAAAACUCUGUUAUUAGGGAAGAACAAAUGUGUAAGUAACUAUGCACGUCUUGACGGUACCUAAUCAGAAAGCCACGGCUAACUACGUG
Molecule: ribosomal RNA, 497 nt
Filed under: uncultured bacterium
Lineage: Bacteria
Description: partial 16S ribosomal RNA
Rfam family: Bacterial small subunit ribosomal RNA
Source: RNAcentral